UGGGGAAUAUUGGACAAUGGGCGGAAGCCUGAUCCAGCCAUGCCGCGUGUGUGAAGAAGGCCUUUUGGUUGUAAAGCACUUUAAGCGAGGAGGAGGCUCUUCUAGUUAAUACCUAGGAUGAGUGGACGUUACUCGCAGAAUAAGCACCGGCUAACUCUGUGCCAGCAGCCGCGGUAAUACAGAGGGUGCGAGCGUUAAUCGGAUUUACUGGGCGUAAAGCGUGCGUAGGCGGCUAAUUAAGUCAAAUGUGAAAUCCCCGAGCUUAACUUGGGAAUUGCAUUCGAUACUGGUUAGCUAGAGUGUGGGAGAGGAUGGUAGAAUUCCAGGUGUAGCGGUGAAAUGCGUAGAGAUCUGGAGGAAUACCGAUGGCGAAGGCAGCCAUCUGGCCUAACACUGACGCUGAGGUGCGAAAGCAUGGGGAGCAAACAGG
This 430-nucleotide ribosomal RNA is filed under the name Pseudomonadota bacterium. RNAcentral's name for it is "Proteobacteria bacterium partial 16S ribosomal RNA". It matches the Rfam family "Bacterial small subunit ribosomal RNA", at positions 355 to 776 of the family's 1533-position model. Lineage: Bacteria; Pseudomonadati; Pseudomonadota. The record is from RNAcentral.